CGUUUGGACGGUUUGCGUCGGAUAUCAUUAUGGGAGUUUAAAUUUUUUUGGCUAAAGCUUUACUUGAGUACUUUGUAAUUUAAAGCCAAAAAUUAAAAUGGAUUUACCCGUCUAUUAUUUAUAUUGAGGUGACUUAUCGUUCAUGAACUUCAGUACAGAGCCCUAUGGGUCUGUAAACUAAGUCAUCAUACUUUAUAUGAAAAAGGUUUAUGUAAAAUAAAAAAUCUGUAUAUUAUUAGAUUUCAAGGAACGUAUACCUACAAAAUCAUUAACAAAGAUAAUAAAAGAGCGGCGAGGACAUUGGUAAAUCCUCGAUUUUGCUCUGGUGCCUUUGAUGUUUGGGCUUCUUCAACGUUAAUGGAGAGAGAACCUUCACUGUUAUAAUCUUCAGUAAGCUGAAUUGGAGAUGGGCACAAUCCCAUCUCAUAAGCCGAUUCCUCUGGGUACAAGAUCAUGGGUUCACCGUUGCGUACCAUAAAUACCUGUCGAUUAUCUUGUACUGGAACGGACUUGCAAGAUAAUACGUCCAUCCACUUGUGCUCUUCUGCCGAAACAGUAUAAUGGAAAUGAAUGUAAUAUGAACCUAAGUUGUUGAGUACGGUUAUUACUUUGCCACGUCGUAAAAGCAAUAUUCUUUUAUCAACGAUGCUAAUAUCCGACUGCAUAUUUAAGAAAGCUUCUCCGUCUUUGCUUUCAAUCAUAGCUUUGCGGAAACGAUUGAUUGUAGACGUGAACUUAUAGUAAGGAUUUCUUUUUGGGAAACCUUUCUCCCAAAUUGCAGGUCGAUUAUAAGGAACCUCUUCACCGCGCAUGGCAAGUUCUUGGCCGUUGUACAUCAUAGGAAUACCAUCUCCCAUAAGAACAAAAGCAAUUGCAUUCUUUAAGGUGGCUGGAUCACUAGAAAUUGAAGCCAUUCUAGGAAGGUCUUUGUUCUCAACGAAGUUUCCUAACAAUAGGGGAUUGACACACAAACCGCGCAUGUCAGUCAUUUUGUCGGCAAGAUCAACAAUUCCCUCUGGAUUAUUCAUCAAAAAUGCUUUUACAGCAGAUUCUCUAACAGGGAAGUUACUCAACCCUUCCAAGUCGUUUUGCCAAUCACAAACUUUUAAAGAGUCGGAAGAUUUCAAGUCACCCAUGCAAAACACUCCAGCAGCUUUGCAAAAAUCUGGCCAGUACUUUCUAUAUUUGUCACCCAUAGCAUCGAAACGAAUACCAUCAAUUUGGAAAGUUUCUACAAAUGUUUGAAUAUAGUCCUCGAGAGCCCCUUUAGCACUAGGACGCUCAUGAACUGAAUGGUCUUCAUGGCAAGAGCAGUGUUCCUCGUGCUUCCAAGGCUUGUGAUCGGGCUUGGUUCCAUUG
This is a non-coding RNA of Schizosaccharomyces pombe (fission yeast), 1359 nucleotides long. The record is from the annotation of a GenBank genome assembly. Lineage: Eukaryota; Fungi; Ascomycota; Schizosaccharomycetes; Schizosaccharomycetales; Schizosaccharomycetaceae.